UCAGGACGAACGCUGGCGGCGUGCCUAAUACAUGCAAGUCGAGCGAACAGAAGGGAGCUUGCUCCCGGAUGUUAGCGGCGGACGGGUGAGUAACACGUGGGUAACCUGCCUGUAAGACUGGGAUAACUCCGGGAAACCGGAGCUAAUACCGGAUAGUUCCUUGAACCGCAUGGUUCAAGGAUGAAAGACGGUUUCGGCUGUCACUUACAGAUGGACCCGCGGCGCAUUAGCUAGUUGGUGGGGUAAUGGCUCACCAAGGCGACGAUGCGUAGCCGACCUGAGAGGGUGAUCGGCCACACUGGGACUGAGACACGGCCCAGACUCCUACGGGAGGCAGCAGUAGGGAAUCUUCCGCAAUGGACGAAAGUCUGACGGAGCAACGCCGCGUGAGUGAUGAAGGUUUUCGGAUCGUAAAGCUCUGUUGUUAGGGAAGAACAAGUGCGAGAGUAACUGCUCGCACCUUGACGGUACCUAACCAGAAAGCCACGGCUAACUACGUGCCAGCAGCCGCGGUAAUACGUAGGUGGCAAGCGUUGUCCGGAAUUAUUGGGCGUAAAGNGCUCGCAGGCGGUUUCUUAAGUCUGAUGUGAAAGCCCCCGGCUCAACCGGGGAGGGUCAUUGGAAACUGGGAAACUUGAGUGCAGAAGAGGAGAGUGGAAUUCCACGUGUAGCGGUGAAAUGCGUAGAGAUGUGGAGGAACACCAGUGGCGAAGGCGACUCUCUGGUCUGUNACUGACGCUGAGGAGCGAAAGCGUGGGAGCGAACAGGAUUAGAUACCCUGGUAGUCCACGCCGUAAACGAUGAGUGCUAAGUGUUAG
RNAcentral lists this ribosomal RNA (818 nucleotides) under Bacillaceae bacterium HP9w. RNAcentral's name for it is "bacterial SSU rRNA". It matches the Rfam family "Bacterial small subunit ribosomal RNA", at positions 24 to 826 of the family's 1533-position model. The record is from RNAcentral. Lineage: Bacteria; Bacillati; Bacillota; Bacilli; Caryophanales; Bacillaceae.